Molecule: transfer RNA, 110 nt
Filed under: Kluyveromyces marxianus
Lineage: Eukaryota; Fungi; Ascomycota; Saccharomycetes; Saccharomycetales; Saccharomycetaceae
Description: tRNA-Gly
Rfam family: tRNA
About the family: Transfer RNA (tRNA) molecules are approximately 80 nucleotides in length. Their secondary structure includes four short double-helical elements and three loops (D, anti-codon, and T loops).
Source: RNAcentral
GACACUGUAGUCUAGUGGUUUAGGAUACUCCCCUUCCACUUAACAAGUUUCUUCCUAAAAAGAAGUAACAAGGCGAGGGAGUGACACGGGUUCGAAUCCCGUCAGUGUCA